Long non-coding RNA from Limulus polyphemus (Atlantic horseshoe crab), 3251 nucleotides. RefSeq lists it as uncharacterized. NCBI's taxonomy places the organism in Eukaryota, Metazoa, Arthropoda, Merostomata, Xiphosura, Limulidae. The transcript has 3 exons. The record is from RefSeq and is a predicted model, not a curated record.
UCAGAUAUAUUUCUAUUAAUUGAUUUUACAAUGAUUGAAAAUUGAAAUUCUAAAUAAAAGUGUUAAUUAUUUGUUGGUGUAAAUUAUAAAUUGGAAAAACAUACUAUUAAGAUAUUUUUCAACUAAAUUAAGUGCCAGAAGGGGCUGAGUUAAAGAGGUAACUUUAAAAACAGUUGAUGAUAUACUUGCAUUUGCAACUGAUAUAUCUCAUCACCAGGAGAUACUAUUUCUCUAGUUCAUCUAAAUGAAGGUUUGUGUUUGAGUUUUGUAUGAUGAAAUUGAAAAUGUGUUUGCAUUUACUAACUGUGAUUUUUCAGUACUUGAAAUAUGUAUGGUACCAGCAGAGGUAUGAUAUUUUGUUUACAAGGUUUUUUAGUUUUAAGGACACCAUCCUGGAUCUCACAACUUGAUAGGGACUAUAACAACUUUGUAUUAGAAAUUAAAGCAACAGUAUUUGCAUUUAAAAUCUUUUGGAAUAAUUUGUUUUUACUGAGUCGAGAGUAAUAUGUUUUAGCCUAUGGAUUCUAAGAUGUUUAUAAAUUACAAAAUAUUAUUUCUAUUAUACAAAAUGUUUUGAAUUAAAGAAAAAAAAGGGUGGGAGGAUAUUUGUAGAGAAUUCUAAACAAGAAAACUGAGGCAGAAGUUGUCUGCAUCUCAUAUCUACCUUUCUUUAAAGUCUAUAUUCUUUUAAAGUUACUAUUCAUUACAUAGAUUCUGGCUGAAAUAAGGUGCUAUGUAAUGGGGUAUUAUUGGCUAAUAUAUUUUGGAUAUUAAGCAAUUGUCACAUACUGUAUAUACACAGAAGCUAAAAGAUCAAUAUAGUGGGGUGAAAUGGUGGGAAAUGAAAUUUAGUUGUGGAAAUCAGAUCAGUAUAGAGGGGAAAUGGUGGGAAGUCAAAUUUAGUCAUACAAUUCAGAUCAGUAUAGGGUAGUGUUUCCAAAGCUGUGUUCUGUAGAACUAUGGGAUUCCAUACAAUAUAUCCAGGGAUUCUGUGAGAAAAUUUUAUGUAGUGUAGUCAGAGUAAAGGAGUAGGCCAGGUAUAGGUAUGGCAUUAAAUCUCAUCAGCCCAUAAAUCAUACCACUGCAUAUUCCUUUUGUCAUUGGCUAUUUCAUUUAUGGGUGGAGUCUAAUUGAUGACUCACUGUAAGUUAGUCGCUAGUGAUAAUCGAGUGUAGUGUUUCAGGGAAACAACAAGCUAGUCUUGAGAUAACUUUUUAACAUAAGAAUGUUUUUUAAGAGUUCUGUCAAUAGUUUUUGAGCUAAAAAGUGUUCCGUGGCUAAACAAGUUUGGGAAAUGCUAGUAUACAGGGAUAUAUGCUCAGAUCAGAAAGUAGUCAUUGUGAAGAUUUUAGUGUAGAAGCCUCUGAUAAAAAUGAACUUCCCAAAUGAUUGUUUUUUUAUGUUUGUGUAUUAGAUAAAACUGAGAAAUACAGUUCUAAUUAUAGCCAUUUUUUUUUCAUUGUAAGAACAAUAUUUUUAUAAUAUAAUGAGCCUGUCAUUGGACAACCAUUUGGUCAAAAGAGAUAACACAUAAAUUGAUAUCUAAAAAGGAGUAAAUUAAUAUUUGAAAUGUUGUGAAUUCAAUAGUUAUCCUUUGAAGGAAACAAAGGUAUGUUUUUUAUACUAAUUUAUUGUAUUUUUAUGGCUACAGAAUUAUAUAUAUGAAACAUAUAUUCUUGUUGUUUUUAUGCUCGUAUAUUACUAACUAUGUUAUAAUGUGAAUUAUGUAAUGUUAUGCUUGAGCUUGUGCCAAAUAUGAAAGUGAAUGUUUAUUGGUCUGUUUGAAUACAUUUUAUUAAUGAUAACAUCUUUAGCAAUAACAAUAUAUAUGCAUUUAAACAAUGUUUAUCGUUUGACCUAAGGUAGAGUUUUAUUUACAGUCUUAACAAGUGUUAAUAACAUAGAAAUAUUAGUAGCAUGAUAAUUUACUGUAGUAGUAAGAUAAAUAUUUUCUUAGCUUCUGUGUGUGUGUGAUAAGCAUUGAUAAAUUUGUGUGUAAUUUUUUAAAAGGGGAUGGUAUACUUACAUACAUAAAGAACUAUUUUAUUUACGAGUUCUUAACUUUAUAGCUGAUAAAUGUUAUUAACAUACAAAAUGAACAACUAUUUGGAAACAGUUUAAUGUAUAAUCUUUUGUUUGAUCUAAGAAAAGUUUCUGGCUAUUAAUCUUGAACCAUACUAUUGUUAAAUUGAAUGUAAAUAGUUAUACUGUUACAAUGGUCUAGUGGUUAGGGUGCUUAAUUCGCAAUCUGAAGAUUGCAAGUUCGAAUCCACGUCAUUGAACAUGCUCAUCCUGUAUGGUUACCAUCUGGGCCUGCCACCUGGUUGUAUAAAUUCUUGGCUUCCAAAAUUACUGUCUAACCUCAAGCUAGUUGAGAUUAAGGUCAUUAUGGAGAAUAAGAAGUGUAUACUGUUACAUAUAUAUUAAUGGUAACCUCAAAUUAUGAACUAUAGUUUGUAGCUCAUUAUUUAUGUUAAAUAGAUGUUUUAUAUUUGGUUCUUAGAUUGAAAAUUAACUAAAGGCAAAAUUUCAAUUACAAUUAAAAACAUGAGUUAUAUAACUAAAUACAGUAAAUAAAGCAAAAUUCUUUUUUAAGAACAAUUACUGUGAAAGUAGGAAACAAAACUAAUAAGUUAAAGCUUAUAGAAAAAAGUGAACAAGAAAAUAUAAACUCAGUUAGAAUUUUAAAUUACAGUUUACUAUGUAUAGAAUCAAGCAAAUAGUAUUAAAACCAUAAAGUAAAAAUGUUUAAAUGAAAAGAGAGUAUGGCAACAUAAAAAUUUCUAAAAUAAUAUUGAAAACAUUAUGAAAAAAGCUGCAAAUUUGUAUAUGGUAUGUUGUUUAUAAGUAACAUUAUAAAUAACUUGUAUAUCAGCUGCCAUUUAUCCUUAUAACAGGCCUGGUUUGUUCCUUAUCUUGAAGAGGGAUGAAAUUACCAAUAUUUGAUGGCAUUUGGGGCGAUACUUAUCAACUGGUUUGCAAGUGCGCACAGCAUGCAGAGUUUUAACUGCUAUUCAAUGGUGGACAUCUGGAGCAAACACGUGAGAAAGAGCACAGAUGGUUCGUGUUUACUUCAAGGUCUACGCUUAAGAGCUUACUUUUGACAACAGAAGACUUCCUACAAAGGGCAAAGUAGUCAUCUGGUUCACUGUGUCACUGUCAAGCGAAGAGGAUUGUGUUGCUGCUCCGGACCUUGUUGGCCUGAGAAAACUACUGUGGUUUCACCAUUUAGGUUUCGUCCCAUUUCUUCC